GCUGAUGACUGUGGUGGAGUUAUCAUCAACAAAGAUCCUCUCCGCUUGUAACUCCUAUCUCGCAUAGAUGAUGUCCAUCCAAGCAACACGAGCUUCGCUUCAGGAACAAACGGCUUGAAAAGAUUAAAGCCCUCGGUAGCCAACAGCCUGGCAUUCAGGCCCCCGAUAACAUAGCUCACACCUUCCCUACCAUUCCUAAGACUACUAUUAAAGUUGACCUUGACAAACCCCGAGGGAGGGGCUCUUAGAAAAUCAAAAAAUUCCUCCGCAUCGCUGCAGGCACAGCAA
Molecule: long non-coding RNA, 288 nt
Filed under: Elaeis guineensis (African oil palm)
Lineage: Eukaryota; Viridiplantae; Streptophyta; Magnoliopsida; Arecales; Arecaceae
Description: long non-coding RNA (EGUI_LNC063931)
Source: RNAcentral